This 497-nucleotide ribosomal RNA is filed under the name uncultured bacterium. RNAcentral describes it as "partial 16S ribosomal RNA". It matches the Rfam family "Bacterial small subunit ribosomal RNA", at positions 28 to 507 of the family's 1533-position model. The record is from RNAcentral.
GACGAACGCUGGCGGCGUGCCUAAUACAUGCAAGUAGAACGCUGAAGAGAGGAGCUUGCUCUUCUUGGAUGAGUUGCGAACGGGUGAGUAACGCGUAGGUAACCUGCCUUGUAGCGGGGGAUAACUAUUGGAAAUGAUAGCUAAUACCGCAUAACAAUGGAUGACACAUGUCAUUUAUUUGAAAGGGGCAAUUGCUCCACUACAAGAUGGACCUGCGUUGUAUUAGCUAGUAGGUGAGGUAACGGCUCACCUAGGCGACGAUACAUAGCCGACCUGAGAGGGUGAUCGGCCACACUGGGACUGAGACACGGCCCAGACUCCUACGGGAGGCAGCAGUAGGGAAUCUUCGGCAAUGGGGGCAACCCUGACCGAGCAACGCCGCGUGAGUGAAGAAGGUUUUCGGAUCGUAAAGCUCUGUUGUAAGUCAAGAACGAGUGUGAGAGUGGAAAGUUCACACUGUGACGGUAGCUUACCAGAAAGGGACGGCUAACUACGUG